UACGUAGGUGGCAAGCGUUGUCCGGAUUUACUGGGUGUAAAGGGCGUGUAGGCGGAGCUGCAAGUCAGAUGUGAAAUCCCGGGGCUCAACCCCGGAACUGCAUUUGAAACUGUAGCCCUUGAGUAUCGGAGAGGCAGGCGGAAUUCCUAGUGUAGCGGUGAAAUGCGUAGAUAUUAGGAGGAACACCAGUGGCGAAGGCGGUCUGCUGGACAGCAACUGACGCUGAGGCGCGAAAGCGUGGGGAGCAAACAGG
Molecule: ribosomal RNA, 253 nt
Filed under: uncultured bacterium
Lineage: Bacteria
Description: partial 16S ribosomal RNA
Rfam family: Bacterial small subunit ribosomal RNA
Source: RNAcentral